UAUACUGCAGUCGAGCGGAGUCUUGUUGGAAGCUUGCUUCCACUUGGCUUAGCGGCGGACGGGUGAGUAACACGUAGGCAACCUACCCUUCAGACUGGGAUAACUACCGGAAACGGUAGCUAAUACCGGAUAAUUCCUUUUCUCUCAUGAGAAGAGGAUGAAAGGCGGAGCAAUCUGCUACUGAGGGAUGGGCCUGCGGCGCAUUAGCUAGUUGGUGAGGUAACGGCUCACCAAGGCGACGAUGCGUAGCCGACCUGAGAGGGUGAACGGCCACACUGGGACUGAGACACGGCCCAGACUCCUACGGGAGGCAGCAGUAGGGAAUCUUCCGCAAUGGGCGAAAGCCUGACGGAGCAACGCCGCGUGAGUGAUGAAGGUUUUCGGAUCGUAAAGCUCUGUUGCCAGGGAAGAACGUCCGGUAGAGUAACUGCUACCGGAGUGACGGUACCUGAGAAGAAAGCCCCGGCUAACUACGUGCCAGCAGCCGCGGUAAUACGUAGGGGGCAAGCGUUGUCCGGAAUUAUUGGGCGUAAAGCGCGCGCAGGCGGCUAUUUAAGUCUGGUGUUUAAACCUUGGGCUCAACCUGAGGUCGCACUGGAAACUGGGUGGCUUGAGUACAGAAGAGGAAAGUGGAAUUCCACGUGUAGCGGUGAAAU
This 656-nucleotide ribosomal RNA is filed under the name uncultured bacterium. Its description in RNAcentral is "bacterial SSU rRNA". It matches the Rfam family "Bacterial small subunit ribosomal RNA", at positions 50 to 687 of the family's 1533-position model. The record is from RNAcentral.